RNAcentral lists this ribosomal RNA (484 nucleotides) under uncultured bacterium. RNAcentral's name for it is "bacterial SSU rRNA". It matches the Rfam family "Bacterial small subunit ribosomal RNA", at positions 32 to 524 of the family's 1533-position model. The record is from RNAcentral.
AAUCAACGCUGGCGGCGUGCCUCAGACAUGCAAGUCGAACGAUUAAAGCUCUCUUCGGAGAGUGUAUAGAGUGGCGCACGGGUGAGUAACACGUAAGUAAUCUACCUUUGAGUGGGGAAUAACCCGGGGAAACCCGAGCUAAUACCGCAUAAUGCAGCGGCAUCGCAAGAUGACAGUUGUUAAAGGAGCAAUCCGCUUAAAGAGGAGCUUGCGGCAGAUUGGCUAGUUGGUAAGGUAAUGGCUUACCAAGGCUACGAUCUGUAUCCGGUCUAAGAGGACGGUCGGACACACUGACACUGAAUAACGGGUCAGACUCCUACGGGAGGCAGCAGUCGGGAAUUUUGGGCAAUGGGCGAAAGCCUGACCCAGCAACGCCGCGUGAAGGAUGAAGUAUUUCGGUAUGUAAACUUCGAAAGAAUAGGAAGAAUAAAUGACGGUACUAUUUAUAAGGUCCGGCUAACUACGUGCCAGCCGCCGCAGUAAC